Molecule: ribosomal RNA, 420 nt
Filed under: uncultured bacterium
Lineage: Bacteria
Description: bacterial SSU rRNA
Rfam family: Bacterial small subunit ribosomal RNA
Source: RNAcentral
GGAAUAUUGGACAAUGGGCGCAAGCCUGAUCCAGCCAUGCCGCGUGCAGGAAGACGGCCCUAUGGGUUGUAAACUGCUUUUAUACGGGAAGAAACACCCCUUCGUGAAGGGACUUGACGGUACCGUAUGAAUAAGGAUCGGCUAACUCCGUGCCAGCAGCCGCGGUAAUACGGAGGAUCCAAGCGUUAUCCGGAAUCAUUGGGUUUAAAGGGUCCGUAGGCGGGACAAUAAGUCAGUGGUGAAAGUCUGCAGCUUAACUGUAGAAUUGCCGUUGAAACUGUUGUUCUUGAGUAAUUAUGAAGUGGUUAGAAUAUGUAGUGUAGCGGUGAAAUGCAUAGAUAUUACAUAGAAUACCGAUUGCGAAGGCAGAUCACUAAUAAUUCACUGACGCUGAUGGACGAAAGCGUAGGUAGCGAACAG